CCUACGGGUGGCAGCAGUGGGGAAUAUUGGACAAUGGGCGAAAGCCUGAUCCAGCCAUGCCGCGUGUGUGAAGAAGGCCUUCGGGUUGUAAAGCACUUUCAGUGGGGAAGAAAGCCUUGGGGCUAAUACCCUCGAGGAAGGACAUCACCCACAGAAGAAGCACCGGCUAACUCCGUGCUAGCAGCCGCGGUAAUACGGAGGGUGCGAGCGUUAAUCGGAAUUACUGGGCGUAAAGCGCGCGUAGGCGGUCUGAUAAGCCGGUUGUGAAAGCCCCGGGCUCAACCUGGGAACGGCAUCCGGAACUGUCAGGCUAGAGUGCAGGAGAGGAAGGUAGAAUUCCCGGUGUAGCGGUGAAAUGCGUAGAGAUCGGGAGGAAUACCAGUGGCGAAGGCGGCCUUCUGGACUGACACUGACGCUGAGGUGCGAAAGCGUGGGUAGCAAACAGGAUUAGAUACCCCAGUAGUC
This 465-nucleotide ribosomal RNA is filed under the name Vreelandella stevensii. RNAcentral's name for it is "partial 16S ribosomal RNA". It matches the Rfam family "Bacterial small subunit ribosomal RNA", at positions 338 to 795 of the family's 1533-position model. The record is from RNAcentral. Lineage: Bacteria; Pseudomonadati; Pseudomonadota; Gammaproteobacteria; Oceanospirillales; Halomonadaceae.